This 1245-nucleotide ribosomal RNA is filed under the name Sugarcane whiteleaf phytoplasma. RNAcentral describes it as "bacterial SSU rRNA". It matches the Rfam family "Bacterial small subunit ribosomal RNA", at positions 153 to 1397 of the family's 1533-position model. The record is from RNAcentral. Lineage: Bacteria; Bacillati; Mycoplasmatota; Mollicutes; Acholeplasmatales; Acholeplasmataceae. RNAcentral also lists the same sequence under 8 other names.
GAAACAGUUGCUAAGACUGGAUAGGAAAUAAAAAGGCAUCUUUUUAUUUUUAAAAGACCUUUUUCGGAAGGUAUGCUUAAAGAGGGGCUUGCGUCACAUUAGUUAGUUGGCAGGGUAAAGGCCUACCAAGACUAUGAUGUGUAGCUGGACUGAGAGGUUGAACAGCCACAUUGGGACUGAGACACGGCCCAAACUCCUACGGGAGGCAGCAGUAGGGAAUUUUCGGCAAUGGAGGAAACUCUGACCGAGCAACGCCGCGUGAACGAUGAAGUAUUUCGGUAUGUAAAGUUCUUUUAUUGAAGAAGAAAAAAUAGUGGAAAAACUAUCUUGACGAUAUUCAAUGAAUAAGCCCCGGCAAACUAUGUGCCAGCAGCCGCGGUAAUACAUAGGGGGCGAGCGUUAUCCGGAAUUAUUGGGCGUAAAGGGUGCGUAGGCGGUUUAAUAAGUCUAUAGUUUAAUUUCAGUGCUUAACACUGUCCUGCUAUAGAAACUAUUAGACUAGAGUGAGAUAGAGGCAAGUGGAAUUCCAUGUGUAGCGGUAAAAUGCGUAAAUAUAUGGAGGAACACCAGAGGCGUAGGCGGCUUGCUGGGUCUUUACUGACGCUGAGGCACGAAAGCGUGGGGAGCAAACAGGAUUAGAUACCCUGGUAGUCCACGCCGUAAACGAUGAGUACUAAGUGUCGGGAUUACUCGGUACUGAAGUUAACACAUUAAGUACUCCGCCUGAGUAGUACGUACGCAAGUAUGAAACUUAAAGGAAUUGACGGGACUCCGCACAAGCGGUGGAUCAUGUUGUUUAAUUCGAAGAUACACGAAAAACCUUACCAGGUCUUGACAUACUCUGCAAAGCUAUAGCAAUAUAGUGGAGGUUAUCAGGGAUACAGGUGGUGCAUGGUUGUCGUCAGCUCGUGUCGUGAGAUGUUAGGUUAAGUCCUAAAACGAGCGCAACCCUUGUCAUUAGUUGCCAGCAUGUCACGAUGGGCACUUUAAUGAGACUGCCAAUGAAAAAUUGGAGGAAGGUGAGGAUCACGUCAAAUCAUCAUGCCCCUUAUGAUCUGGGCUACAAACGUGAUACAAUGGCUGUUACAAAGAGUAGCUGAAACGCAAGUUUAUAGCCAAUCUCAUAAAAGCAGUCUCAGUUCGGAUUGAAGUCUGCAACUCGACUUCAUGAAGUUGGAAUCGCUAGUAAUCGCGAAUCAGCAUGUCGCGGUGAAUACGUUCUCGGGGUUUGUACACACCGCCCGU